AUUGAACGCUGGCGGAAUGCUUUACACAUGCAAGCCGAGCGGCAGCGCGGGGGCAACCCUGGCGGCGAGCGGCGAACGGGUGAGUAACAUAUCGGAACGUACCCUGUCGUGGGGGAUAACACAGCGAAAGCUGUGCUAAUACCGCAUACGACCUGAGGGUGAAAGCGGGGGAUCGCAAGACCUCGCGCGAUAGGAGCGGCCGAUAUCGGAUUAGCGUGUUGGUGAGGUAAAGGCUCACCAAGGCGACGAUCCGUAGCUGGUCGGAGAGGACGCCCAGCCACACUGGAACUGAGACACGGUCCAGACUCCUACGGGAGGCAGCAGUGGGGAAUUUUGGACAAUGGGGGCAACCCUGAUCCAGCCAUUCCGCGUGAGUGAAGAAGGCCUUCGGGUUGUAAAGCUCUUUCGGCAGGAACGAAACGGCAGGCUCUAACAUAGUCUGUCAAUGACGGUACCUGAAGAAGAAGCACCGGCUAACUACGUGCCAGCAGCCGCCGUAA
Molecule: ribosomal RNA, 500 nt
Filed under: uncultured bacterium
Lineage: Bacteria
Description: partial 16S ribosomal RNA
Rfam family: Bacterial small subunit ribosomal RNA
Source: RNAcentral